Vidua chalybeata is the source of this 1125-nucleotide long non-coding RNA. RefSeq lists it as uncharacterized. The record is from RefSeq and is a predicted model, not a curated record. The transcript has 6 exons. NCBI's taxonomy places the organism in Eukaryota, Metazoa, Chordata, Aves, Passeriformes, Viduidae.
GGAGCAGGCCAAACUGUUGUUGGGUUCCUUUGGCUACUCCUCUUCUUGCAGAGCAGGUGCCAGCACAGCCAGGAGAGGGAAGGAGAGCCUUGUGUCUGUGGCAUGCUCUGAGUCCUCUUGGAGACAACAGGGUACAGCCCUUGCCCCCUCCUCUACAUCCACAGCUAUAAGAAGAGAACCUGGAAUCACUUCCACGCUGGAGUCUGUAAGCAGUGAUGCGGAUGCGGCGAAGGCAGCAAAUCCUCCGGCUGUGCGUGCCCUCCCUGGACUGCUGCUCCAUCCCCGCCUGUCGUGCUCGCGCGUGUGCAUGGCUGGGAGCGCUGCCUAGGUGCGGCCGGGAAUGAGCCAGCUGUGGGGCAAGGACCGCUACAGCUCCAAGGGGUGACACAAGUGGGGGAUACCCCCCCACACAAACACAUCUGCAGGGCUGCAAGUUGCUUGAGGACCGGGGUCUUUUGUGCCUGCACUUCGUCUCUGUCAUGCCCCGUAUGGAAGCUGGGAGCAGUCACCCCUCCAGAAGCAGAAGGCGAAGUCGUUCGCAAUGAAUCCAUGGCAGCUUCGAUCGAGCGGUGAGCUGGAGCACCUACUCACAGGCCACUCCUUCAUGUGACUGAACAGAGACCUUUCCCAGCAGUCGCCAAGGAGAGCAGAGCCCUGGAUUUACCUCCCGCGCACCCGGGCACCCCCGGCGCAGGCACUGCGAGCAGCCAAUGAACCUCCAGGGCCAAAGGAUAAAUGCACCAUCGCUGGAGUAUUACAGCAUUUAGAAACCUCACUCACUGACUCACAGCUGUCUGACCCCUCCACCACAACCACUUUCAAUUUUUCUCGGCACCCAGCCACCUUCUCUACUGAGGUGUAGCUGGAUAAUCCUUGUGCUUUUACAGUGCCUGCCUGUGUGCAGCUCUGAGGCAGAACGGUGCUUCUGGAGGACAUCUAGCACAACUAACUCAUCAUGACAACCAGCAGCAACUUCAGGCUGCUUUCAGAGAGCUGUUUGUGGAAUCACCUCAGCCCUUUAGCACAAGAUGUACACUUGCAGCAAGGCCUGCCACUACAGAAGAGAGAGGCUUCUGCUUCCUGCGAGUCCUGUGUCCCUGGCAAAUGCUAGCCCAUGACUAACGU